CCGACACACUAAACCAACCUCAAUUUCAUUUUUGACAACUCUAAUUCAAACCCCAUGAGUUAGGGCUUUUUAAAAAUAAAUUAUUCAAUCAAAAGAAAAUUUUCGAAUAAACUUUUGGUUGCAAAUUGUGCACAAUUGUUUUAGAUGAUUUGUUUGGGAUAUUGUGGAUAUGAUAGCUUAAUUGAAAUAAACAUCAGUACAUUACCAUGGAUAACGGUUCUUAAUCGUUACCCGACUCCAUUGUCUAUAAUCAAUGAACAAUCUCUAAGUCCAUUUUCUUCCUCACCAACAAACUGGGGCUCCUCAAAAAUGUUGUACUAGGUUGAAUGAAACUUUUAUCAACCAAUUCUUUCAACUGAAUUUCCAAUUCCCUUAACUCAUCCUGAACCAAUCUUUAACAUAGAUUUAUACCUGGCAACAAAUCAAUAGUGAACCUCAUAUCUCUGCCUGAAGGCAAUCCAGGUAUACUUUCAGGGAAGACAUCAAGAAAAGUCUAACCCCUUUUUGACAUUAUUCACACUACUCCAAACAACAUCAUUUAGCACCACACGAGCUAAUAUUUUUGACAGCCUUUCGAAAACAAUCUCUUUGCUCUCACAGCAUAAAUAACGGCAUGACUCAAUCCACUUUGCAUACUUACAAAAGUAAUCUCUGGUCAUCCAGAUCGAUGGAAAGUACUGGUUUCCCUUAACAUUCCGUCUUGUCACAAUUAUAACCAACCAAUCUAAUGGAAAUAAUUUAACCGACACAAUACAUACUCUAUUACUACUAAGCAUUCUGAAUAAGUACAAUACUAACAUAAAAUAAUCUACCGGUUUGCUUGCUUAACGAAUCCACGAAUGAGUUAUUAAUAUUACGGUCUGCAGCCCGCAAUACUGAUAAAUCAUCGUUGUCUCGAUAAGUAGGCAACCACUCUCAAAGAUAUAACAUUANNNN
RNAcentral lists this long non-coding RNA (936 nucleotides) under Malus domestica (apple). RNAcentral's name for it is "long non-coding RNA (MDOM_LNC007522)". The record is from RNAcentral. Lineage: Eukaryota; Viridiplantae; Streptophyta; Magnoliopsida; Rosales; Rosaceae.